CCAAUUUCUCAUAUUAUACUGCGCUUUGUUUAAGCCUCGUUUUUUCUCCGUUACAUGGAUACUUUUGUAAUGGUUUAAUAUUGUAGCUUCAUUUUUACUUCAACAUGGUUUCGUUUGUGGCGUUUUCAUAAUGAAGUAUCAUUUUCAUUUUUAUAAUGAUACAUUUGCCUUGUUUUACCAUUACAUGAAAUACUUUUGUUAAGUGUUCCUUAUUGCAGGUCACAUUUCCUUAAUGUAGCCUCGUUUUCAUUAUAAUAGGGUUACUAUAGUCUCUUUUCCUGCGUUUAACUGUAACGCGAAUACGUUUGUAACGUUUCCUUACUGUUGCCUUGUUUACACUGUAACGCAGAUAUGUUUGUGACGUUUCCUUACUGUUGCCUUGUUUACACUGUAACGCGGAUAUGUUUGUGACGUUUCCUUACUGUUGCCUUGUUUUCACUGUAACGCGGAUACGUUUGUGACGUUUCCUUACUGUAGCCUCGUUUUCACUGUAACGCGGAUACGUUUGUGACGUUUCCUUACUAUUGCUUCGUUUUCACUGUAACGCGGAUACGUUUGUGACAUUUCCUUACUGUAGCCUCGUUUUCCCUGUAACGCGGAUACGUUUGUGACGUUUCCUUACUGUUUGCCUCGUUUUCACUGUAACGCGGAUACGUUUGUGACGUUUCCUUACUGUAGCCACUUUUUCAUUGUUACAUGGUUACGUUUGUGACGUUUGUUACUGUAGCCUCAUUUCCAUUGUUACAUGGUUACGUUUUAUGACAUUUCUUUACUGUAGCCUCUUUUCAUUGUUACAUGGUUACGUUUGUGACGUUUGUUACUGUAGCCUCGUUUCCAUUGUUACAUGGUUACGUUUUAUGACAUGUCUUUACUGUAGCCUCGUUUUCAUUGUUACAUGGUUACGUUUGAGACGUUUCUUCAUUGUAGCCUCGUUUUCAUUGUUACAUGGUUACGUUUGUGACGUUUCUUUACUGUAGCCUCGUUUUCAUUGUUACAUGGUUACGUUUGUGACGUUUCUUUACUGUAGCCUCGUUAUGGUUACGUUUGUGACGUUUACCUUCUGUAGCCUCGUUCUCAUCGUAACAUGGUAACGUUUAUGACGUUUUCUCCCUGUAAAGCACGUUUUCACUAUUACAUGGAUUCGUUUGUGACGUUUCUUUACUGUAGCCUCGUUUUCAUAGUUACGUUUGUCACGUUUCCUUUAAUUAAGUGGCCUCGUUUGUAUUGCAAUAUGGUUACGUUUGUGACUUUUUCUAAUUACAUGUAUAUUCUCGUUUUGAUCGAAACAAGGACACGUUUGUGAAUGGUUACUCUAUUUCCUGAUUUACAUGAACACGAACACGUUUAUGACAUAGAGGAUAUUGAAUUAGUGUAAGUUCAAUACUGAAUUUAUUGCACGAGUUGAAUAAAAUUAUAUUAUGCGAGCCUCUGGCGAGCAUAAUAUUAUUUUAUUCAACGAGUGCAAUAAAUUCAGUAAUGAACUUACACGAAUUUAAUAUUCUAUUUAUCACAUACCCAAAAUAAAUACCGUUUAAAGUGAAGUAAGAGUCAUUUUUCAUUGACGCGCCUAUAAUAUAACGCUAAAAUUUAGCGCGUCUUUACACUAUGUUUGUAUAACGCUAAUGACGUCACGUCAAAAUAUAUGCACGGUCGUGCAAUACCAUAAUUACGCAGUCGCAAAAUCGGCACGGGUGUGUGAUGAAUUAAAUUAUUAUCUCAUAUUCUCCCUUAUAUGUUUUAUCCUCUUUUUCCUCGUAAAACUGAUACAUUUGUUAACUUAAUGUAUCGUCUUCACCAUGGUUUCAUUUUUGAUGUUUCUAAAUUAUUUCGAAGCAAAGUUGUUCCUCACAUAUAUCACAUCUGCAAUAUGCUGAAUGACAAGAAUCUUGUCAAAACGUAACAAUUUUUUAACACUUUGACUUUAAACAUAAGACCAUAGAUAAAAUGCACAAAUAGAUGCACGUUGUAAAGAUAUGAUAAAUUUUAUUAUCAUUUUUAUUGGAACUUUUGUCAUGUCCAAGUAUGCAGAUGAUGUCAUCACGCAGAUGCAAACAAAACACUUGAAAGUGUUUUUAAUAUAAUUUUUAAUAUGUGGUAGAAACAUUCCUGUUUGGACCUCUGUCAGUUUGGAGGCAGUUGCCUUAUUCUGGCGACAUAAAUCGCAAAAUUAUUCAUUUCCAAAAUAUUAAUAUACGAGUAUGUCAGUGCGGUUUUGGGACUACUUUCUGAGCCAACUAUACUAAAGCGAAUGGAAUAGAUUAUAUUUUUCUUUUAAGUUUCGUUUUCAUCGUUACAUAGAUGUUUGUUACGCGUUUUGUUAAAGUCUAAUAGAUUCCAGUACAUUUGUUACGUUUUGUCAUUGUAGUCUCGUUUGCAUUGUAACAUGCCGUUUGUGAAGUUUUCUUGUUGUUUUCUUGUUAUUAUCGUAACAUAGUUACGUUUGUAACAUCUUCUUCCCGUAGUUUCAUUUUCAAUGUUACAUAUAUACGUUUGUGACGUUUUCUUAUUGUAGCCUCGUUUUUAUUGUAAUUGAAACAUGCUCACGUUUUUGACGUUUUCUUAUUGUUGCCUCGUUUUCGUCGUACACGGUUGCGUUUGGGACGUUUUUUUCUUUAGCCUCAUUUUCACUGUUCCAUAGAUACGUUUGUGACGUUUUCUUACUGUCGCCUCGUUUUCAGCUCUAAGUUUGCGUAGCAUCGCUUUCAUCGAAAAAGGGUUUGUUUAAGUCACGUUUUCAUCAGAAAACGAAUGCGUUUGUGAAUGUGGGGGAGUAAGCAGUUGACAGUAUGCAAUUGACAGUAAGCAGUUGACAAGCUAGCCAGCUAUCCUGAAUGUCACUCCCUGCUUACCGCAUGAGUCCGUCAAACACUUCUGACACCAUUUAAGUAAAUUAGGAGGCAGAAAAAUACCAAGGGUCCAACCGGGUUUUGAACAACAGACCUCUUGGUCCGUAGGCGGACACCUCAACCACAUCGCUAAAGGGUUUACCAAACAGCAAGGCUGUUGGAAGUGGCCUAUAUACCACUGCACUAUAUUGUGCAUGACCUCCAGAACGGCAACUAUUUCGGAAACUGAAUAAUUUUUUGACCAAUACAGUUGUUAUAGGUCGUCCAUUUUUAUUUUAAUGCUAUAAGCAGUGAAUAAUAAGUAGUAAGCCGUAAGCAGUUGAUAGUAAGCAGUUGACAGUAAGCAGUAGGCAGUCAACAUUUUGCAAUUCCAUAGUAUAUUGAUUCAUUAAUGUUCCCAAAGAAAUAUUGAGAUAAAUAUAAAAAGUUAUGAAAGUAUAACAAUUCUGUCAUAAACCUAAAUCAAUACACCGCAUAGUUACGAAUAUCGAUCAACAGAUCAAUUGGGUAUUAUUCAAUACUUACAUGUAGUAAAGCCUAUCUAGUCAGAUUAUGAACAGGUAUAAUAAAAAAUAUUUUAAGAUAUAGUCCCCCCUUAGCAUUAACAAGCGGUUUGCUCAGUUAUGUCAAAUAAUAUAUUAACAUAUAUACAUGUAUAUCCAAAUGUUUUUAUUGAUGCAUUUUGUGAGAAAGACAUCCUCAAAGAGAAAGUUUGAUCUCACACCUGGUCCGUGGUUGAGAACCAAAUCCAUCCCUUUUAUCAAAAAACAGGCCAUAUAAGGUUUUUGCCAUAGACCGCGAAAUACAACUUUUGUUUGGUUACUAGGAUAUGUUUUCAUGUAUAAAUGGUAUAAACUUUAAAUGUUUUAACACUUACUUUUUCCUACCAAGUGCGACAUUUAGCGUCAAGGGGUUGCGACAUUUAGCGGCAAUCAAUUUUUGUGCGAAAUAUGGCGGCAACGUUGCGACAUUUAGCGGUAGGCGAUUGCGACAUAUAGCGUUGAUUGCGACAUAUAGCGUCAGCGUUGCGACAUUUAGCGUUAGUUGCGACAUAUAGCGGCGUUGCGACAUAUAGCGUUGCUACAUACGUUAUAGUACAUCCCAGACAAAAGUGAAAGGAAAAUCAUGUGUAAAAAAGGUAUUCAAAAGAAUAGCUUACGAAAUUUCUAUUUUUCGAAGUCACGAUUCUAAUUGCCAGUUUUUGAAAAAAAACAUUUUCCGGUAUACGCUGGUAAAUUUUGUGACGGUGCUCCAUACUUAUUUUGUAAAACAUUUUAGGGCAAUUUUAUUGCAUAAAUGUAAAUCGGGAAUUUUAUUUUAUUUAAUAUCUACCUGAGAUGUUUCGUCCCAUUUAUACAAUACACCGAUAUACACUUUUAGAACUAGCAGACGACAGGCUAUUCUUAUCAUUGCGUAUCUCACUGUAUAAAUCGCAUGUAAAAUGGUCUGACAUAUGGUAGGGUUAACAGUUAAUUUAAAUACUUUGGAGUCAAAAGAUGUAUUGAAGUUUAUAUUGUGAUGAAGCUAAGACCCAAAGCUUUCUAUUGGUGUAAUACAUUUUAAAAUCGGACAUUUAAUCACAACAAACUAGCGGUUUAAAAAAAGCUUAUUUUGUAUUGUUUUAGCAUAAGCGCUGACGACUUUACUAUAUUUACGAUGUAUUCAUUCAUGCUAGCAAGCGCAUGCGUAUAUGCGAAGUUUAACGCGUAGGUAUAAACUACGAUUUUAUCAAUGAACUGUUAGUUUUUUGUUUUCUUUAAAGGAAUGUAGAGUCUAUUAUUUCAUGAAAAUGAACGAUUUGCAAAUUUCAAAGCAUUUAAACAACUUUGCAAAACACUAUUUUAAUGAUGUGUAGUCGGAAUGUACCGCUACUGCAGAAUGAAGAACUAGUUUCUAUAGCGGUUUUUAUCCGGGAGUGGAUGUUGUUCGGUAAUGCAUUAAACCUGUAUCUUUUCUGAGAUAUAGCUUAUAACUCUGUAUACAUUGCAAGCAAUGUAUACAAAAACGUCC
Molecule: long non-coding RNA, 4856 nt
Organism: Ruditapes philippinarum (Manila clam)
Lineage: Eukaryota; Metazoa; Mollusca; Bivalvia; Venerida; Veneridae
Exons: 3
Source: RefSeq, a predicted model, not a curated record